UAAACUCAAAGGAAUUGACGGGGGCCCGCACAAGCGGCGGAGCAUGCGGAUUAAUUCGAUGCAACGCGAAGAACCUUACCAAGGCUUGACAUAUACGAGAACGCUCUAGAAAUAGAGAACUCUUUGGACACUCGUAUACAGGUGGUGCAUGGUUGUCGUCAGCUCGUGUCGUGAGAUGUUGGGUUAAGUCCCGCAACGAGCGCAACCCUCGUCGUAUGUUGCCAGCACGUAAUGGUGGGAACUCAUAUGAGACUGCCGGGGUCAACUCGGAGGAAG
RNAcentral lists this ribosomal RNA (276 nucleotides) under uncultured Leifsonia sp. RNAcentral describes it as "partial 16S ribosomal RNA". It matches the Rfam family "Bacterial small subunit ribosomal RNA", at positions 896 to 1172 of the family's 1533-position model. Lineage: Bacteria; Bacillati; Actinomycetota; Actinomycetes; Micrococcales; Microbacteriaceae. The record is from RNAcentral.